Molecule: ribosomal RNA, 663 nt
Filed under: uncultured fungus
Lineage: Eukaryota; Fungi
Description: eukaryotic LSU rRNA
Source: RNAcentral
CCCCCUUUUGUGCACCAUCGCGUGGGCUCCCUCGGGGGCUCGCGUUUUCACACAGUCACCCUUUAAUGCAGUGUAGAAUGUCUUUAUUCGAUCCUCGUGAUCGAUACAAUACAACUUUCAACAACGGAUCUCUUGGCUCUCGCAUCGAUGAAGAACGCAGCGAAAUGCGAUACGUAAUGUGAAUUGCAGAAUUCAGUGAAUCAUCGAAUCUUUGAACGCACCUUGCGCCCCUUGGCAUUCCGAGGGGUACACCCGUUUGAGUGUCGUGACAUCCUCAAAAACCCUCUUCUUGAUCUCUUGAUCGRGGAAGGCUUUUGGACUGUGGAGGUUUUUGCUGGCCUCGCUUUUGAAGCCUGCUCCUCUUAAACGAAUUAGCUGGGUCCGCUUUGCAGAUCCUCGACGCGAUAAGAUGUCUUCUGCGUCCUGGAUUUUUUGCUCUGCUCCUNCCUGCUUCUAACUCGUCUCGUCAGAGACAGCGUUCGGGCCCUUUCCCAUUCGUGGGGAGGGCUUUUGACCCUUGAACCUUUGACCUCAAAUCGGGUGAGACUACCCGCUGAACUUAAGCAUAUCAAUAAGCGGAGGAAAAGAAACUAACGAGGAUUCCCCUAGUAACUGCGAGUGAAGCGGGAAAAGCUCAAAUUUAAAAUCUGGUGGCCUUUGGUC